RNAcentral lists this ribosomal RNA (712 nucleotides) under uncultured Candidatus Poseidoniales archaeon. Its description in RNAcentral is "bacterial SSU rRNA". It matches the Rfam family "Archaeal small subunit ribosomal RNA", at positions 54 to 773 of the family's 1478-position model. The record is from RNAcentral. Lineage: Archaea; Methanobacteriati; Thermoplasmatota; Candidatus Poseidoniia; Candidatus Poseidoniales.
CGAGUCUAGAGGCCUAGCCUCGGCGUACCGCUCAGUAACACGUGGGCCCUUUACCCUAUGCUGGGGGAUAAGCUCGGGAAACUGAGAAUAAUACCCCAUAGUCCACUACGCCUGGAACGGUGAGUGGAUCAAAGCUCCGGCGGCAUAGGAUGGGCCUGCGGCGUAUCAGGUUGUAGGGGGUGUAACGUACCCUCUAGCCAUCCACGCGUACGGGUGUUGGGAGACAUUGCCCGGAGAUGGAUUCUGAGACACGAAUCCAGACCCUACGGGGUGCAGCAGGCGCGAAAACUUGGCAAUGCGAGAAAUCGUGACCAGGGAACUCCAAGUGGCAGGGGUAAGACCCUGUCUUUUUCCGACUCUAAAUAGGUCGGCGAAUAAGGGGUGGGUAAGGACGGUGCCAGCCGCCGCGGUAAUACCGGCGCCUCAAGUGGUAGUCGCUUUUAUUGGGCCUAAAACGUCCGUAGCCGGUCUGGUACAUUCGUGGGUAAAUCAACUCGCUUAACGAGUUGAAUUCUGCGAGGACGGCCAGACUUGGGACCGGGAGAGGUGUGGGGUACUCUCAGGGUAGGGGUAAAAUCCUGUCAUCCUGAGAGGACCACCUGUUGCGAAGGCUCCACACUAGAACGGAUCCGACGGUCAGGGACGAAGCCUAGGGGCACGAACCGGAUUAGAUACCCGGGUAGUCCUAGGUGUAAACGCUGUGGACUUGAUG